This 378-nucleotide unclassified non-coding RNA is filed under the name plant metagenome. Its description in RNAcentral is "partial contains 5.8S ribosomal RNA, internal transcribed spacer 2, and large subunit ribosomal RNA". The stretch from base 1 to 105 matches the Rfam family "5.8S ribosomal RNA", at positions 50 to 154 of the family's 154-position model. The record is from RNAcentral.
GAAAUGCGAUAAGUAAUGUGAAUUGCAGAAUUCAGUGAAUCAUCGAAUCUUUGAACGCACCUUGCGCUCCUUGGUAUUCCUUGGAGCAUGCCUGUUUGAGUAUCAUGAAAUCUUCAAAGUAAAUCUUUUGUUAACUCAAUUGGUUUCUACUUUGGUAUUGGAGGUCUUUGCAGCUUCACACCUGCUCCUCUUUGUUCAUUAGCUGGAUCUCAGUGUUAUGCUUGGUUCCACUCGGCGUGAUAAGUUUUCUAUCGCUGAGGACACUGUAAAAGGUGGCCAAGGUAAAUGCAGAUGAACCGCUUCUAAUAGUCCAUUGACUUGGACAAUACUUUUAUGAUCUGAUCUCAAAUCAGGUAGGACUACCCGCUGAACUUAAGC